AGAGAAAGCAAAAGGGAAUAAAAACUCUGCAAGACAACGUUUUGUGUUCCUUUCAGGAAAUGUCAACGCCAUGGAGGAAAGGAAAGGCAACAUCUUUCCAUCCGCAGGUGCUGGAGACGCGUCUGUAACCUGGGAAUCCAGAACCGAAUCCGAGAGGCGUUUUCCCAUCAGCCUGGCACUGCGGCUCCGGUGGAGCUGGCAGCGCUGCACACUCAGAAUGAGACUGGACUUGCCCCGGGGGACUCGGGGACCGUGCUGGGCUGGUGAUGGAGUGCACUGAACCAUCUGUCACCUCCCUCUGUGGCACUGAGAAGAAAGAGGGGACCUGGCUGAGGAGCCUCUACCACCAGUGAGGCCUGCUAGGCCAUGUGACCUUGGCCAAGUCUUUGGCUCCGUGAUGUCCAUUCUCCUUCUCUGCCCUCUUGCCUCUGAGUUUCCACAGGACGGGGCAGGUGGGAAGGACUUGGUGCCCAGUCAAGCUCCAGGGAGGCGAAACAUUCCCUAAUCAUCAGGCUCAAGGUUUUAGGAAGGUGGCGCAGGCUGUUGCCAUGCAACUAGGGAUAAAAACAACAACAAAAAUUUGUUUUAAUCAUGAACAUUCCUGAAAUGGAUACAGUGCAACCCACUGACUGUCUCUGCAGCAUCCCGGUCCCCACUGCCUUUUAAAACAUUCCGCCAUUACUGUGGCCAAGAGGAAAAGAGGAAUCUUUAGCUAAGCUAUAGUAGAGGUGUUCUGGGGGAAAUAAGCAAAUGAAAAUGUUAUUACCAGGACACUCAACCUAAAUCAAUUUUAAUGAUCGUUCCUAUUAGAGGUUGUGAUUUCUAAGUUCGUAUUCGUGGCCCACCCACCACACACACACACACACACACACACACACACACACUUCCUUCUUUCCUUCCCUCCCUUCCCUCCCUUCCCCUCCUAUUUUCUCUCUCCCUUCCCCUCUUCCUCCCUUUCUCUCUCUCUUUCUGAUUUGAUUUCAAGUGUCUUAUUAGUACUUAAAAAUUCUCUUGAACUUGGGUAAGUAAAAAUAUUUUUUAAAAGCAAAAAAAAUUUACAAAGGAUUCAUACAGGAAUCGGAUUAUGGACCUUUGUAUUUUCAUAUUUCUGCAGCUCAAUACAGGGAGCUCUUCUGGCUGUUGAUCAAAUAAAGCCUCAACCUGGGUCUGAAGGAGAUUUCAUAGUUCUGGCUCUGGUGUUUUGCUGUGUGGCCUCUGGAUAGUCACUUCCCCUCUCUGGAUCACAGCCACCUCAUUUAGAAAUUCAGGGAUUGGAUCAGGUGGUCUCUGAAGUGCCUUUCAGACUUAAAUUUCUUCCUAUAAAUGUUGUUCACAUGAAUAGAACCCAACAUCGGAACAAUUAAUAAAUAAAACCCACCCUCUCCAUGCCUUUUAACUUAUAAAGCAGACCAAUAAAGGUAAAACUGCUUAUAUUAUAAAAAUUUUUUUAAAUAGCUGCUUCAUUUUAGAAAUAAUUUGAUUUACGUAUAGCUUUUCAAAUUCUCAAAUACCAGUAAUUGAUAAAUUUCGUCUAGUUGGACAUUUCAGUGAUGGUUCUUUAUCCUUAGCAGCUGACCCUGCCACAUCCAUCAGACAAAUUCCCAAGAAACACUCCUGUAAUGCUCAGUUGAAAUCUCUAAUGGGCCUGAGCAAAUCAGACCUAAUGUUCACUCUGGUGAGCAGUCACUUUGAAAGCAUGUGUUGCUUUCUAAUUAUCAUUUUAUUUCUACCAUUAGCCACAUUGGAAAUAUAAAUCACAGCUAAUAUCCUUCAGAAAGAUGGCUAACCCCUCCCCCAAGAGUUGACCAUCUUCACAUACGAAAGGGGAGCCGGGGACAUGGUGGAAAGCAUCGGGGAUACAGAGUCAAGGAAUCAUAAGUGAUGUGACCUUGAAUAAGUCACUUCCCCUCUCUAGGUCUUGGGUUCCCCAAGUGUAAAUGGUCCAGGUCACUGGGAAGGAUCCUUUGGCCCUACUAGGGACUGAAUGCUUGUGUUCCUCAAAAUUCUCCUAAAUUGAGACCUAACCCCUAAGUGGUGGGAUUAGGAGGUGAGGUCUUCGUGAGAUAACUAGGUGUCUUACAUUUUCCUGUUGCUAUAACAAAAUACCCAAGACUGGGUAAUUUAUAAGAAUAGACUUUACUGCCACACAGUUCUGAAGCUAUGAAGCCCAAGAUCAAGGCGCUGGGAGUUUUGGUGUCUGGUGGCUGUUUUCUGGUUCCAAGAUGGCACCCUGGUCCUGUGUGGCACAUUAGGACAGAAUUUGGAAAGACAACAGGCCUAUUCCCUCUAGCCUUUUCAUAAGACAUUAGUCUCCUUUGUGGGGACCAAGUCUCCAUGGCCUAAUCACCUCCUUAAGGCCCUACCUUUUAAUACUGUUGCCGUGGCGAUUAAGGUUCCACAAGCAUUUUGGAGAGGAUGUGAACAUUCAAACUGCAGCCCUAGGUCACGAUGGCAAAGACCUCUUGAAUAGAAUUAGAGCCCUCACAAGGGACUGGGAAAACCAAAUUUCUCUCCUGCCACAUGAGGAUCUAUAGAGAGGAAGCAGGCUCCAUCAGAAAGCAUGCCCUCACCAGUCACUGAAUCUGCCAGCAUCUUGGUCUUGGACUUCCCAGUCUCCAGAACAGUGAGAAAUUUCUGCUGUUCAUGAGUCACCAGUGUGUGGUAGCUUGUUUAUGGAAGCUGAAUGGACAAAGGCAGGUCCUGAUGUCCAAUAAUCUCGUCAGUCACUGGGAUACUGGGUGUAGGAAAAUUAUCCCUCCGUAUUUCUGAUGACUGCCUCCUUCACGCAGUUCAAGCAAGCAGGUGUACACUAGACCUCAGUCAUUGUGUCCUUUAGCUUCAGAAGGGAGAUGAUAUUAUUUCCUAGAAAAUCCUGCAAGAUAUACAUGACCGUAUGACCAAUGUGAUUCUGCAACCUGUAUAAUCAUAAAAAUAAGAAAUUAUACCCCAUUUGAUUCAAGUGUAUGAUAUGUCAAGAUCAUUGUACUGUCAUGUGUAACUAAUAAAAAAAUAAAAUAAAUAAAAAUAAAAUAAAAUCAUGCAAGAAUAAGA
Molecule: long non-coding RNA, 3051 nt
Organism: Ictidomys tridecemlineatus (thirteen-lined ground squirrel)
Lineage: Eukaryota; Metazoa; Chordata; Mammalia; Rodentia; Sciuridae
Source: Ensembl